Long non-coding RNA from Dreissena polymorpha, 854 nucleotides. RefSeq lists it as uncharacterized. The transcript is spliced from 3 exons. Lineage: Eukaryota; Metazoa; Mollusca; Bivalvia; Myida; Dreissenidae. The record is from RefSeq and is a predicted model, not a curated record.
GAAAAUGUUAAAGUUCUUAUUUCAUGGUAUAACUUUGGUAUGCUUGGACCUAGAGUCUUCAAACUUGACAUGAAGGUUGGCCAGGAUUAACAGAUGACCACUGGUCAUUUCAAGGUCAUUCAUUUGAAGGUCAAGGUCACUGUGACCUUCAAUAUAAAAAAUGUUAAAGUUGUUAUAACUUUGGUAUGCUUAGACCUAGAGUCUUGAAACUUGACAUGAAGGUUGGCCAUAACUAGUUAGUAACCACUGGUCAUUUCAAGGUCAUUCAUUUGAAGGUCAAGGUCACUGUGACCUUGAAUGUAAAAAUGUUAAAGUUCUUAUUUCAUGUUAUAACUUUGGUAUGCUUGUACCUAGAGUCUUCAAACUUGAAAUAAAGAUUGGCCAGUACUAGAAGAUGACCACUGGUCAUUUCAAUGUCAUUCAUUUGAAGGUCAAGGUCACUGUGACCUUAAAUGUUAAAAUGUUAAAAUUGUUAUAACUUUGGUAUGCUUGGACAUAGAGUCUUCAAACUUGACAUGAAGGUUUGCAAGCACACUUAGAUGACCACUGGUCAUUUCAAGGUCAUUCAUUCUAAGGUCAAGGUCACUGUGACCUUGAAUGUAAAAAUGUUAAAGUUCUUAUAACUUUGGUAGGUAAAAAUGUUAAAGUUCUUAUUCCAUGUUAUAACUUUGGUAUGCUUGUACCUAGAGUCUUCAAACUUGACAUAAAGGUUUGCUCAUGCCUUGAAAAGUACUUACAUUUCAUUUUGACCUUUGAACAAUAUUUCAGUAAUUUAAGUAUUGCAUUGACAAAAACACGAAAGGUACUUUCCUGUCAUUUAAAUCAAAAAUCCGGCUUCAAUACGGUCAUCUCCG